This 459-nucleotide ribosomal RNA is filed under the name uncultured bacterium. RNAcentral's name for it is "partial 16S ribosomal RNA". It matches the Rfam family "Bacterial small subunit ribosomal RNA", at positions 338 to 795 of the family's 1533-position model. The record is from RNAcentral.
CCUACGGGAGGCAGCAGUGAGGAAUAUUGGUCAAUGGGCGGGAGCCUGAACCAGCCAAGCCGCGUGAGGGAAGAAGGUACAGCGUAUCGUAAACCUCUUUUGUCAGGGAACAAAGGCGGGGACUAGUCCCCGGAUGAGGGUACCUGAAGAAAAAGCAUCGGCUAACUCCGUGCCAGCAGCCGCGGUAAUACGGAGGAUGCGAGCGUUAUCCGGAUUUAUUGGGGGUAAAGGGUGCGCAGGCGGUUUGUUAAGUCAGCGCGAAAAGCCCGGGGCCCAACCCCGGCGCGCCGUUGAAACUGGCAGUCUGGAGUUGGAGAGAGGUACGCGGAAUGCGCGGUGUAGCGGUGAAAUGCUUAGAUAUCGCGCAGAACCCCGAUUGCGAAGGCAGCUUACCGGCUCCACACUGACGCUGAGGCACGAAAGCGUGGGUAGCGAACAGGAUUAGAUACCCUUGUAGUC